ACGGCCAUACCACAUUGAAGACACCGGUUCUCGUCCGAUCACCAAAGUUAAGCAAUGUCGGGCCUGGUCAGUACUUGGGAGGGUGACAACCUGGGAACACCGGGUGUUGUAGGCU
RNAcentral lists this ribosomal RNA (115 nucleotides) under Cordylochernes scorpioides. The record is from RNAcentral. Lineage: Eukaryota; Metazoa; Arthropoda; Arachnida; Pseudoscorpiones; Chernetidae.